UCGUUAAAAGAAAUAUGGGUGUUGAGAGAAAGACUUCACAACCCGCUGUGGGUGGGAUUGUGGUGCUUUGUCAAUCACUGGGAGGCGUAACCCUGUGCUUAUUGGCUCCCAUUCUCUUAAGAGGCAAUGAUUGACAGCAUGUCCCACCUAUCUUAGGUUUCAGGUUUUCAGCCCCUGUUUCUCCCAUCGCUGUGAAAGACCUGAACAAGACCUUCACUAGGAGGUAUCAGCCUGAGGAGUCUAGGUUAGCAAGCUCUGACUAGGCCUCCCACUCUGAUGGAGACCCCAACGCAGCUACGACAAAAGGAGGCCGAGGAUGAAGAAUGAGACAGAGAAGGCUACAAAAAUAAAGGAAAAAAAGAGAGGAAGGCUUGCUGGAGAUGUGGGAUCCCACCAGAUGUGGUAACACUUACUCCUACCUGAGGAUCCAGGGGUGCUCGCAUUCAAGGGUGAUGCAUAUGCAGUAUUGCGGCCAUUUUGGUUCUCUUGUCCUUCUCCCUCUCUCUUGCUGAUGUUCUCCUCGCCGGGCUGCCGGGCUAAAUCACUCGCAGCAGACUGCGCUCCCCUUACCUGCCGCUUGCACAUGAAACCCGACACGCGACGCAUCAGACCACCCCUAACCCCUUGGAUGCGGGACGGGGGACAUCUUGGCAUUACUUCAGACAAAGUGAACAUUUCGGCAAGCAUGUAACACAUUCAUUGAUGAGUUAAAAAUUCGCUGAGAAAUUAGUGUUAGCCGUAAGUUCAAUAAUACCCUACGCUCUGAGAUAAUGAAAAUCCGUUCACUGACCUUUUCCUGUAUUACUGGUUGUUAGAAGUGACUUAAGGGAAUGAAAUGAAUGUUACAAUGGCAAAAUGACUCCUCUAUGCUGACUUGUUCACCUGUGCUGAUGUCACAACCAUGCCAGCGAUGGAGGGUCUACAAAGCUUUGAAAACAUUUCAUUAGUCAUGAGGCGACUGUCAGAUUUCUGACUGGUUCUUCAUUCCAAACUCAACUUCAUGCUGAAUAUCAAGUCUAUUUUACAACCUGAAAUGUUACGGUCUCAGUGCUGUACUCACUAUUAGAAAAAUCAGAAAGGGCAGUUUUGGAAAAAAAACACUUCAUAGAUCACAGUCCUGGAGUUUUCUUGAAUCUGAGCAGAUCCCCAGCCCAAAAAGUGGGCCAACCCAAUUAAAUAUGACUGAUUUCCAUUCAAAAUGAGCAUGCAUAUUAAAAACAUUACAUCCUAUUAUGGAAAUGUUUAAGGAAAAAUGAUUCCCAAUCAGGUAAAGUCGUUAAACAGAUUGUAUGCAAGGGUUGUCUAACAGUACUUUUAUUUUGUCAAAAGGCAAGGUUCUGUUCUUGUGAGAGAACAGUGAAUAUUUGCCUGUCUGCCCUCUGCAUUUAGACUCGAAUCUUAAAAUUUGCAUUGCAUAAAUUAGGACUUUGUCAUCCUAUUCAUUUGACUUCCUCUGCGGGCCCCUGAAAUUUGGCUCCUCCCAAGGUUUCUUCCUUCUAGGGAGUUUUUCCUCGCCACUGUCGCCUCUGGCUUGCUCACUGGGAGCUUUGGGCAGAGAUAAU
Molecule: long non-coding RNA, 1562 nt
Organism: Paramormyrops kingsleyae
Lineage: Eukaryota; Metazoa; Chordata; Actinopteri; Osteoglossiformes; Mormyridae
Source: RefSeq, a predicted model, not a curated record